This 424-nucleotide ribosomal RNA is filed under the name uncultured bacterium. Its description in RNAcentral is "bacterial SSU rRNA". It matches the Rfam family "Bacterial small subunit ribosomal RNA", at positions 356 to 772 of the family's 1533-position model. The record is from RNAcentral.
GGGGAAUAUUGGACAAUGGGGGCAACCCUGAUCCAGCGACGCCGCGUGGGUGAAGAAGGCCUGCGGGUUGUAAAGCCCUUUCGGUUGGGAAGAAAAGUUGCGGUUUAACACAUCGCGACCUUGACGUAACCAACUAAAGAAGCAACGGCUAACUCUGUGCCAGCAGCCGCGGUAAUACAGAGGGUGCGAGCGUUAAUCGGAAUUACUGGGCGUAAAGAGCGCGUAGGCGGCUUUUCAAGUCGAUUGUGAAAUCCCCGGGCUUAACCUGGGAACUGCAGUCGAGACUGUCUAGCUAGAGUAUGGGAGAGGGAAGUGGAAUUUCAGGUGUAGCGGUGAAAUGCGUAGAUAUCUGAAGGAACAUCAGUGGUGAAAGCGACUUCCUGGACCAAUACUGACGCUCAUGUGCGAAAGCGUGGGGAGCAAA